CCCGUCACAACGGCUUCCUGGCGUGACGGUGUCAUUAAAUGGAGCA
This 46-nucleotide non-coding RNA is filed under the name Candidatus Halocynthiibacter alkanivorans. RNAcentral describes it as "SAM/SAH riboswitch". It matches the Rfam family "SAM/SAH riboswitch aptamer". Lineage: Bacteria; Pseudomonadati; Pseudomonadota; Alphaproteobacteria; Rhodobacterales; Paracoccaceae. The record is from RNAcentral.